ACCUGAAGAUGCUGAUGCUUCUGCUGCUCCUGGGGCCCAGCUCUGGGCUGGGUGCUCUGGUCUCCCAAGAUCCAAGCGCAGUCAUCUGCAAGAGCGGCGCCUCUGUGCGGAUCCAGUGCCGUGCGGUGGACUUUGAAGCCUCCACCGUGUUUUGGUAUCGUCAACUCCCGACACAGGGCCUCACGCUGAUGGCAACUUCGAACGUGGGCUCCGACGCCACACAUGAACGAGAUUUCCCUGCGGCCAAGUUUCCCAUCAGCCAUGUAAACCUCACAUUUUUCACUCUGAAGGUGACGAGUGCGAGUCCUGCGGACAGCAGUCUCUACUUCUGCGGUGCUAGUGCUGAGAAAACUUGUGACAAAAUCCAGUACUUGUUCAAAAUAAGCACUCUUAUCAAACUGGUAAAGGAGAGGUUUCUCAACCUGCUAGAGGCUAUCAACAAAGAAUGCAUAACAAACAUCCUGUUCAAUGGUUAA
Molecule: non-coding RNA, 476 nt
Organism: Neomonachus schauinslandi (Hawaiian monk seal)
Lineage: Eukaryota; Metazoa; Chordata; Mammalia; Carnivora; Phocidae
Source: the annotation of a RefSeq genome assembly